UAUCUCUGUAGAGUCUGCAUAUCAAUAAGCGGAGGAAAAGAAACUAACAUAGGAUUCCCUCAGUAACGGCGAGUGAAGCGGGAAGAGCUCAAAUUUGAAAUCUUCAAGGUUCUACCUUGACGAAUUGUAGUUUAAAGAAGUGUUUUCUGUUAGAGUUUGAGUAGCAAAAGUUCUUUGGAAUAGGGACAUCAUAGAGGGUGAGAAUCCCGUAUUUGGUACCAUUAUUUCCAGCUUUGUGAUACACUUUCAAAGAGUCGGAUUGUCUGGGAACGCAGUCCAAAAUGGGUGGUAAAUUUCAUCUAAAGCUAAAUAUUGGCGAGAGACCGAUAGCGAACAAGUACCGUGAGGGAAAGAUGAAAAGAACUUUGAAAAGAGAGUUAAACAGUACGUGAAAUUGUCAAAAGGGAAGCGUUUGACACCAGUGUUGUUUUCUCGAAAAUCAAUUAAGAAUGGCAUGAUUUUGUGUUGUAUUGACUUUAUCAGCUUUCUUCACUCUUUUCGAAGUCUUUUUUAAUGCACUUUUCGGUUAACAAGUCAACAUCAAUUUCUUUUGUUGUAAAGGAGUAUUCGGAAGGUGGCUUUCUUUUCGGAGAAAGUGUUUAUAGCCUUAUACUUCUACAAUCGGAGAGACUGAGGUCUGCAGCGUAGAUCCUUCGGGAUUAGAUAUCAUUUGUGCUAAGUGUACGCCUUUUAUAGACAACUUGUUGACUAUAGUUCGAUCCUGUUAGGCUUACUCGCUUAUGUAUUUUACCUACGCUUAGGAUGUUGAAGAUGUAGCACAUCAU
RNAcentral lists this ribosomal RNA (785 nucleotides) under uncultured Neocallimastigales. RNAcentral describes it as "partial large subunit ribosomal RNA". It matches the Rfam family "Eukaryotic large subunit ribosomal RNA", at positions 24 to 643 of the family's 3401-position model. The record is from RNAcentral. Lineage: Eukaryota; Fungi; Neocallimastigomycota; Neocallimastigomycetes; Neocallimastigales.